This 484-nucleotide ribosomal RNA is filed under the name uncultured bacterium. RNAcentral's name for it is "partial 16S ribosomal RNA". It matches the Rfam family "Bacterial small subunit ribosomal RNA", at positions 29 to 507 of the family's 1533-position model. The record is from RNAcentral.
AUUGAACGCUGGCGGCAGGCCUAACACAUGCAAGUCGAGCGGAUGAAGGGAGCUUGCUCCUGGAUUCAGCGGCGGACGGGUGAGUAAUGCCUAGGAAUCUGCCUGGUAGUGGGGGAUAACGUCCGGAAACGGGCGCUAAUACCGCAUACGUCCUGAGGGAGAAAGUGGGGGAUCUUCGGACCUCACGCUAUCAGAUGAGCCUAGGUCGGAUUAGCUAGUUGGUGGGGUAAAGGCCUACCAAGGCGACGAUCCGUAACUGGUCUGAGAGGAUGAUCAGUCACGGUGGAAUAGAGACAAGGUCGAGACAAAUACGGGAUGCAGCAGUGGGGAAGAGUGGACAGUGGGCUAAAGAAUGAUACAGCCAUGCGGGGUGUGUGAAGAAGGUAUUCGGAUUGUAAAGCAAUUUAAGGUGGGAAAAAGAGAAGGAAGUGAAUACCUUGCUGCUAGGAGGGUACCAAAAGAAUAAGAAACGGCUAACCGAGUG